CAUUACCGAGUUAUAACAACCCCAACCCUUUGUGAACCUUACCGUCGUUUCCUCGGCGCACUGCUGCGACAACCCCGCAGGCGGCCCUCGCGGCCCCGCGGGCAGCUACUUACCCUGUACGGAUCUACCCUGCAGCAGCUGAAGGCGCAGCGGCGCCGAAAGGACCGCUACAAACUCUUUUAUCCAAGCUACGUCUGAACAAUUUACUAUGCAAAAUAGUUUAAAACUUUCAACAACGGAUCUCUUGGUUCUGGCAUCGAUGAAGAACGCAGCGAAAUGCGAUAAGUAAUGUGAAUUGCAGAAUUCAGUGAAUCAUCGAAUCUUUGAACGCACAUUGCGCCCAUUAGUAUUAUAGUGGGCAUGCCUGUUCGAGCGUCAUUUCAACCCUUAAGCCCUUGUUGCUUAGCGUUGGGAGCCUACGGCACCGUAGCUCCCCAAAGUCAGUGGCGGAGCCGGCUCACACUCUAGACGUAGUAAUUACUCACCUCGCCUAUAGUUGGACCGGUCCCCUGCCGUAAAACGCCCCAGUAUCUAAAAGGUUGACCUCGAAUCAGGUAGGAAUACCCGCUGAACUUAAGCAUAUCAAUAAGCGGAGGAAAAGAAACCAACAGGGAUUGCCCUAGUAACGGCGAGUGAAGCGGCAACAGCUCAAAUUUGAAAUCUGGCUCUUUAGGGCCCGAGUUGUAAUUUGUAGAGGAUGCUUUUGGCGCGGUGCCUUCCGAGUUCCCUGGAACGGGACGCCUUAGAGGGUGAGAGCCCCGUACGGUUGGACACCAAGCCUCUGUAAAGCUCCUUCGACGAGUCGAGUAGUUUGGGAAUGCUGCUCUAAAUGGGAGGUAAAUUUCUUCUAAAGCUAAAUAUUGGCCAGAGACCGAUAGCGCACAAGUAGAGUGAUCGAAAGAUGAAAAGCACUUUGAAAAGAGGGUUAAAUAGCACGUGAAAUUGUUGAAAGGGAAGCGUUUGCGACCAGACCUUUUCCUAGCGGAUCAUCCGGUGUUCUUCGCCGGUGCACUUCGCUAGGUCGAGGCCAGCAUCGGUUUCUGCAGGGGGAUAAAAGCCCAGGGA
RNAcentral lists this ribosomal RNA (1065 nucleotides) under Sordariomycetes sp. genotype e50as008. Its description in RNAcentral is "eukaryotic LSU rRNA". The stretch from base 541 to 1065 matches the Rfam family "Eukaryotic large subunit ribosomal RNA", at positions 1 to 533 of the family's 3401-position model. Lineage: Eukaryota; Fungi; Ascomycota; Sordariomycetes. The record is from RNAcentral.